Molecule: RNA transcript, 3204 nt
Organism: Salvelinus namaycush (lake trout)
Lineage: Eukaryota; Metazoa; Chordata; Actinopteri; Salmoniformes; Salmonidae
Gene name: solute carrier family 22 member 17-like
Exons: 11
Source: RefSeq, a predicted model, not a curated record
GCAGUUAUGUGACCCGUCCCCUUUAAGAUGAUGUCAGAAAUAAUAAUUUAAUAUUUAAUUUCUUUGUUUCAUGUCGGCGGACAUAUACUUCGGUCGAGCAACAACGUUAGAAAUCAGGGACGGUAGAAGUCGAGCAUCAACCUUUCUGCCAAUACAGCAAAACGGAUUGCUUCCUAAAGUAGGUUUCAGUGGGUGUCAAUGUUGAAGCCCUGCGUUAUCUUCUCUGACAGGACUUUAGUUUCCAGUGCUUCAUAUAACACUACCCCGGGACAGAAGCCUAUAUGUCACAGGAUGGAAUAAUAGCCAAAGCCGGCAGAGAGAAGACGCAUAGGAAGAGUUAAGGGAAUGCGGUGAAAUUUCAACUCAAUUCGGAACUGUUCCCUUUAUCCCCUUCAAUGUUUUGGCUUUACCUAAACGGACGUUGGAAAGUGACAAUGGGCAAUCGUUAACCCAGUGGAUUUAUUAUCAUAUCCGACGACUAUAAUAAUAGUGGAAAGGGGAUAUUUCCCAUAUUUCCCAGUCCGUCUAAGAAGUGACCACAGCCUCUCUGGCCCUCAGUCAUGACAUCACCUGAGUCCCCCAUCCCUUCCCCUUCCCCCUGUCCGCCUCCCCCUUCCUCCCUCCCCUCGUCUCCCACUCCCUCCCCCCUCCCACCUCCCCCCUCCCUGACUCCCACAGGGGAGGUGAUGGUCCUGGCCCUGGGGAGGAAGAAGCAGAGGAUGCUCAUCGGUCUCUCCAUCCUGCCCAAUCUCUUCCUGGCCUUCCUUCUCUCCUCGGACGCCCUGCUUACCCUCACCUCACCCCACCACUGCCGCCUCCCGGGACCCUUGCCUGCCGCCCAGAUCCUUAACACCUCCCUGCCCUGGGAGAAGGGGGGCAGAGUGGGGGACAGCGGGGGGCUGUCUCAGUGCAAGCAGUAUAUCAACGGUACCCAGUCCGGGGUGGAAAACUGUGAAGCUGGCUGGGACUACAACGUCACAGAAGGAUUGAGGAUUAACAUUGUUACUGAGUGGGAUUUGGUGUGUGGUCAGUACUGGCUGGUUCCAGUCGAAGAGGUGUCCUUCAUCCUGGGCGUUCUGACAGGAUGCCUGGGACUGGGCUUUGCAGCUGACAGACUGGGCAGGUUGAAGACACUACUCACCUCUCUGACCCUCUCAGUGGUAUUUGGCGUGCUUGUGUGCGUCUCUACCACUCCCCCAUUCUUUAUUGUCAUGCGUUUUUGCCUGGCUGCUGCUAGCGCCGGUGUCUACCUCACGCUUUACAUCACACGUCUUGAACUCUGUGACCCCUCACUACGUCUGCUAGUCACCAUGGUGGCAGGACUAACUACAGUUGCUGGGGAGCUGCUGUUGCUGGGUUUUGCUCUGGGUUACCAGUCCUGGAGAGGCUUACUUGGAACUGGGGCUGCACCGCUCUCUCUGUUCCUCACCUAUGGUAUUCCAGGGGUAUUUCCUGAGUCUCCUCGCUGGCUCCUCCUCUCUGAGAGAUCAGCUGAUCUGAAUUCCUUCAGUGAAAGAAGAGAUAGAGGGAGGGAUGACGAGAGCUUCACAGAGCUGGACUCCGAGCUAUCUCCCUCUACUCGCCCACACCUGUCCUUCCCAGAGCUCGUACACAGCAGGAACAUCUGGAAAAAUAUAUGUGUGCUCGGCUUCACCUCGUUCAUUUCCCAUGGCAUUAGUCACUGUUACAGCUCGUUCCGCGGUGAUGUCAGAGGCACUGCCCCCAGCUUCUAUUGGACCUAUCUACUCUCUGUCUGUGCGGGAGGAGGGGCCUUGCUGUUGUUAUGGGCAACCGUGAACAGGUGUGGUCGACGUGGUAUCCUGCUCCUCGCCAUGACGAUGACGGGGCUGGCAUCUCUGAUUCUCCUCGGACUGAUGGAGUAUCUAAGUGAGGCGGCCAUCACUGUGUUCUCAGUGAUGGGUCUCUUCUCCUCCCAGGCGGCUGCCUCUCUCUGUGUCCUCUUCACAGCAGAGAUCAUGCCCACCAUCAUCAGGGGCAUUGGCGUGGGCACGGUGUUGGCCCUGGGCUGUGUGGGUCGGCUCACCUCGCCGCUCAUGGACCUGCGCAACCACUAUGGCUACUUCCUUCACCAUGUGGUGUACUCCUCCCUGGCUCUGCUGGCCGUGCUCUCCAUCCUGCUUCUGCCCGAGAGCAAGAGGAAACCGCUGCCCCAGACGCUGGCCGACGGGGAGCAGUACCGACGCCCCUCGCUGGGCCGGAGGAGGAGGGACAACGUGCCCCUGCUGGCCACCCCCAACCCAGAGACAUAGCAUGUCAUAACGCCAGCCCAGAGUUUCAGCAGGUCGCGGAGAGGAAGAUGGAGAGGGACAAGAGGGUCAGCUGUCUGCUGAAAAUGGUUGUGCCGAGCCAAUGAAGGAGGGUGGUUGAAGGGACCCCCACCCCCCUCACCUUUCCCAUAAGGCCUGUCUGUCAGGAAAGGGAGCAGAUGCUUUCUGCCCAUGCUCCCGACUGCCACCAUCAGAGAGACCCUUUUGAUUUGUGUAUUAUCUGGCAGAGUAUGGCAUCACACACAGCUCACGGAGGCAGAGGCAGAUGUGACUUGGAGCCAGUACUGUUUAUGGGUCAUUCAUCUUGAUCGUCUGGGCUGUCAGACCUGUCUUCCUCUGGGCUUCACUGAAGACAUAGGGAGUGUGCCUGUGCAUUCAGAGCUGAAAACCUUGGGUAGAUAGAAAUGUAUGGUAGAAAAUGGACACACAUUUAUAUAUUAUAUCAGUUCUACGCUAAAUAUUAUUGUGGGGCAAUGCCCUGAAGAGUUUGCAGCAUUGAAUUAUAGCCACGCCCAGAAACCAGCCCAAGCCCCCACCCCUUAGGCACUGAUCUGAAAGGAUUGGCUAGGUACAAACAAUCCAUCCAGUUUAUCAGGCGGCAUGGUGAAGCUAUUACGAUAUUGCUUAUACCUUUCUGAUCCUUUCAGAUCUCCACAAGCAUCUUGGCCCUAGGCUAGGUGGUAAGGCCUAAGGGCUGUUUCCAGACCUGGGCUAUUCUCUUUUUAGAAUACAGGAACUCACUAUAAUAGAGUGAUGGUGACGUGCAUAACAGGCACCUUGUUGCCAGGCACCUUGUUGCCAGGAUUUGGUACUGUAUGUUUAUUUGAAACAUUGAGGACCUAGCUGUUUGAUGGUUUUUUUUGACAGGUUUUUGACUGGAUCUGCUCCAGAACCUUCUCUGGGCAGAGGUGUGUGU